RNAcentral lists this ribosomal RNA (466 nucleotides) under uncultured bacterium. RNAcentral's name for it is "partial 16S ribosomal RNA". It matches the Rfam family "Bacterial small subunit ribosomal RNA", at positions 339 to 795 of the family's 1533-position model. The record is from RNAcentral.
CUACGGGUCGCACCAGUGGGGAAUAUUGGACAAUGGGGGAAACCCUGAUCCAGCAAUGCCGCGUGUGUGAAGAAGGCCUGCGGGUUGUAAAGCACUUUCGGUUGGGAGGACUGCUUCUAGCACUAAUAUUGUUGGAAGUUGACGUUACCUUCAGAAGAAGCACCGGCUAGCUCCGUGCCAGCAGGCCGCGGUAAUACGGAGGGUGCAAGCGUUAAUCGGAAUUACUGGGCGUAAAGCGCGCGUAGGCGGCUAGAUCAGUCGGGUGUGAAAGCCCCGGGCUUAACCUGGGAACUGCAUCCGAUACUGUCUAGCUUGAGUACAGGAGAGGAGAGUGGAAUUCCACAUGUAGCGGUGAAAUGCGUAGAUAUGUGGAGGAACACCAAUGGCGAAGGCAGCUCUCUGGCCUGAUACUGACGCUGAGGUGCGAAAGCGUGGGGAGCAAACAGGAUUAGAUACCCCUGUAGUC